RNAcentral lists this ribosomal RNA (957 nucleotides) under Lepisma saccharinum. Its description in RNAcentral is "bacterial SSU rRNA". It matches the Rfam family "Eukaryotic small subunit ribosomal RNA", at positions 66 to 998 of the family's 1831-position model. The record is from RNAcentral. Lineage: Eukaryota; Metazoa; Arthropoda; Insecta; Zygentoma; Lepismatidae.
CCGCUCCCUUUUGCACUGAAUUAAGUAAACCGCGAAUGGCUCAUUAAAUCAGUUAUGGUUCCUUAGAUCAUACCUAUCUUACUUGGAUAACUGUGGUAAUUCUAGAGCUAAUACAUGCAUAUUGAAUCCCGCCCAGAAAUGGAAGGGAUGCUUUUAUUAGAUUAAAACCAAUCGGUCGGCUUGUCCGUCCGUUGCCUUGGUGACUCUGAAUAACUUGACGCUGAUCGCACGGUCUUCGUACCGGCGACGUGUCUUUCAAAUGUCUGCCUUAUCAACUGUCGAUGGUAGGUUCUGUGCCUACCAUGGUUGUUACGGGUAACGGGGAAUCAGGGUUCGAUUCCGGAGAGGGAGCCUGAGAAACGGCUACCACAUCCAAGGAAGGCAGCAGGCGCGCAAAUUACCCACUCCCGGCACGGGGAGGUAGUGACGAAAGAUAACGAUACGGGACUCAUCCGAGGCCCCGUAAUCGGAAUGAAUACACUUUAAAUCCUUUAAUGAGAAUCAAUUAGAGGGCAAGUCUGGUGCCAGCAGCCGCGGUAAUUCCAGCUCUAAUAGCGUAUAUUAAAGUUGUUGCGGUUAAAAAGCUCGUAGUUGGAUCUGGGUCUCGGACGGUCGGUUCGCCGCCCGGCGUUUAACUGACCGGUCCGGACGUCCUGCCGGUUUUUCUUCCUCGGUGCUCUUGAUUGAGUGUCUUGGUGGGCCGGCACGUUUACUUUGAACAAAUUAAAGUGCUCAAAGCAGGCCGUGUCGCCUGAAUGUUCGGUGCAUGGAAUAAUACAACAGGACCUCGGUUCUAUUUUGUUGGUUUUCGGAACUUGAGGUAAUGAUUAAUAGGGACAGACGGGGGCAUUAGUAUUGCGACGUUAGAGGUGAAAUUCUUGGAUCGUCGCAAGACUAACCGAUGCGAAAGCAUUUGCCAAGCAUGUUUUCAUUAAUCAAGAACGAAAGUCAGAGGCU